GGCAAGGUUCACAGAAACCCAGAAACUUACGACCAGCACAGGCCAGAAAGUGAGGCCCUGUCAGGACCAUGGAGAUGCACCCUAUUCUGGACCAUGUAAUCCAGAAGUCUGUCUCCAUGCCACCUCCAGGAGCCUGGCUGACCCCGGACCCACACCAAGAUUCUCUCUUUCUGUCAUCAGCUUCUAGAUAGAGUCUUGAACUCCGGGCUGCUUGGUUAACACCUCACAGAUGUGUGAAAUAUCCAGCAAAGUCUCCUGCAAGCCUCAGUUGAUGGUAACCCACAGGCCGGACAAAGAUGUGAUGGCAGAAGCCAGGGACAGGGAUGCCAUGCGUGAAGCUCUCUGUCAGACUGCGCCUUGUGUGUUACU
Molecule: long non-coding RNA, 369 nt
Filed under: Rattus norvegicus (Norway rat)
Lineage: Eukaryota; Metazoa; Chordata; Mammalia; Rodentia; Muridae
Description: long non-coding RNA NONRATT021896
Source: RNAcentral